CCUACGGGAUGCUGCAGUGGGGAAUAUUGGGCAAUGGGCGCAAGCCUGACCCAGCAACGCCGCGUGAAGGAAGAAGGCUUUCGGGUUGUAAACUUCUUUUGUCAGGGACGAAGCAAGUGACGGUACCUGACGAAUAAGCCACGGCUAACUACGUGCCAGCAGCCGCGGUAAUACGUAGGUGGCAAGCGUUAUCCGGAUUUAUUGGGUGUAAAGGGCGUGUAGGCGGGAAUGCAAGUCAGAUGUGAAAACUAUGGGCUCCACCCAUAGCCUGCAUUUGAAACUGUAUUUCUUGAGUGCUGGAGAGGCAAUCGGAAUUCGGUGGGUAGCGGUGAAAUGCGUAGAUAUACGGAGGAACACCAGUGGCGAAGGCGGAUUGCUGGACAGUAACUGACGCUGAGGCGCGAAAGCGUGGGUAGCAAACAGGAUUAGAUACCCUAGUAGUC
Molecule: ribosomal RNA, 443 nt
Filed under: uncultured bacterium
Lineage: Bacteria
Description: partial 16S ribosomal RNA
Rfam family: Bacterial small subunit ribosomal RNA
Source: RNAcentral